UGGGGAAUAUUGCACAAUGGGCGCAAGCCUGAUGCAGCCAUGCCGCGUGUAUGAAGAAGGCCUUCGGGUUGUAAAGUACUUUCAGCGGGGAGGAAGGCGAUAAGGUUAAUAACCUUGUCGAUUGACGUUACCCGCAGAAGACGCACCGGCUAACUCCGUGCCAGCAGCCGCGGUAAUACGGAGGGGGCAAGCGUUAAUCGGAAUUACUGGGCGUAAAGCGCACGCAGGCGGUCUGUCAAGUCGGAUGUGAAAUCCCCGGGCUCAACCUGGGAACUGCAUUCGAAACUGGCAGGCUAGAGUCUUGUAGAGGGGGGUAGAAUUCCAGGUGUAGCGGUGAAAUGCGUAGAGAUCUGGAGGAAUACCGGUGGCGAAGGCGGCCCCCUGGACAAAGACUGACGCUCAGGUGCGAAAGCGUGGGGAGCAAACA
This 427-nucleotide ribosomal RNA is filed under the name uncultured bacterium. RNAcentral's name for it is "partial 16S ribosomal RNA". It matches the Rfam family "Bacterial small subunit ribosomal RNA", at positions 355 to 774 of the family's 1533-position model. The record is from RNAcentral.